Molecule: ribosomal RNA, 468 nt
Filed under: uncultured bacterium
Lineage: Bacteria
Description: partial 16S ribosomal RNA
Rfam family: Bacterial small subunit ribosomal RNA
Source: RNAcentral
GAUGAACGCUGGCGGCGUGCUUAACACAUGCAAGUCGAACGGAAAGGCCCUGCUAUCUUGCUGUGCUCGGGUGGCCAUCGUGUGUGUAUCACGUAAGUAUCCUUACCUUGACUUUGGGAUAACUUCAGGAAACUGAGGCUAAUACCAGACAGCAGCUCCUGCUGCAUGGUGGGCGUUGGAAAGUUGAGGCGGUUGGGGAUGGACUUGCGGCUUAUCAUCUUGUUGGUGGGGUAGUGGCUGACCAAGGCUUUGACAGGUAGCCGGCCCGAGAGGGUGAGCGGGAACAUUGGGACUGAGAUAGGGACCAGACGCAUACGGGAGGCAGAGGUGGGAAAUAUUAAACAAUGGGAGGGAGCGUGAUGCAGAAGCGCCGGGGGCGGGAUGACGGCCUUGGGGUUGUAAACCGCAGUCGCCUGUGACGAAGCGGAAGUGACGGUAAUCGGUAAAGAAGCACCGGCUAACUACGUG